RNAcentral lists this ribosomal RNA (248 nucleotides) under uncultured bacterium. RNAcentral's name for it is "partial 16S ribosomal RNA". It matches the Rfam family "Bacterial small subunit ribosomal RNA", at positions 523 to 769 of the family's 1533-position model. The record is from RNAcentral.
AUACGGAGGGAGCUAGCGUUGUUCGGAAUUACUGGGCGUUAAAGCGCGCGUAGGCGGUUUUUCAAGUCAGAGGUGAAAGCCCGGGGCUCAACCCCGGAAUUGCCUUUGAAACUGGAAGACUUGAAUCUUGGAGAGGUCAGUGGAAUUCCGAGUGUAGAGGUGAAAUUCGUAGAUAUUCGGAAGAACACCAGUGGCGAAGGCGACUGACUGGACAAGUAUUGACGCUGAGGUGCGAAAGCGUGGGGAGC